Molecule: ribosomal RNA, 301 nt
Filed under: uncultured bacterium
Lineage: Bacteria
Description: partial 16S ribosomal RNA
Rfam family: Bacterial small subunit ribosomal RNA
Source: RNAcentral
CAGUAGCCGCGGUAAUACGUAGGGUGCGAGCGUUAAUCGGAAUUACUGGGCGUAAAGCGUGCGCAGGCGGUUGUGUAAGACAGGUGUGAAAUCCCCGGGCUUAACCUGGGAACUGCGCUUGUGACUGCACAGCUAGAGUAUGGCAGAGGGGGGUGGAAUUCCACGUGUAGCAGUGAAAUGCGUAGAGAUGUGGAGGAACACCGAUGGCGAGGGCAGCCCCCUGGGCCAAUACUGACGCUCAUGCACGAAAGCGUGGGGAGCAAACAGGAUUAGAUACCCCUGUAGUCCCUGUCUCUUAUAC